RNAcentral lists this ribosomal RNA (505 nucleotides) under uncultured bacterium. Its description in RNAcentral is "partial 16S ribosomal RNA". It matches the Rfam family "Bacterial small subunit ribosomal RNA", at positions 29 to 507 of the family's 1533-position model. The record is from RNAcentral.
AACGAACGCUGGCGGCGCGCUUAACACAUGCAAGUCGAGCGAUGAAACUUUAACAGCUCGCUCCGGGGCGAAGCUAAAGGGGAAUAGCGGAGGAAGGGUGCGUAACACGUGUGUAACCUGCCUUAGACAUUGGGAAAGCCUCGGGAAACCGGGAUUAAUACCAAAUAAAAUAAUAAUGACACAUGUCAUAACGAUCAAAUCUCCGGUGGUAUAAGAUGUACUCGAGUCGGAUUAGCUAGUUGGUAGAGUAAAAGCCUACCAAGGCGACUAUGGGUAGCUGGUCUCAGAGGAUGAUCAGCCACCCUGGAACUGAGACACGGUCCAGACUCCUGAGGGAGGCAGCAGUGGGGAAUAUUGGACAAUGGGGGCAAGCCUGAUACAGCCAUACCGCGUGGGUGCAGAAGGACUUCGGGUUGUAAAGCCCUUUUGUUGGGAAAGAAAAGAAGCAGGUUAAUACCCCGCUGUUCUGACGGUACCAAAAGAAUAAGCCCCGGCUAACUUCGUG